ACUACCAACUCCUCCCGGCGAAGUACAAAGUCUUGGUGCUGGAAGAACUUUUUGGGACCAUGGAGACCGCUGAAGACGGCAGCGAGAGAGAAGAAAAGGGGCACCAAAAGCUCAAAGGAACAAAGAGGGAUGUGACGGUGGAAAGCUUAGAGAAAAGUGAGGCAACAACGGGGAAAAGUGAAGAAGAGGGGCUCCGAAAGCUCAGAGGAACAGAGACGGUUGCGUCGAAGGAAAGCUCAGAGAAGAGUGAGGCAAUAACGGGGAAAAGAUAAGGGAGAAAGGGCCUUAUAUAGGGCUACGCAUACAACGAGGCAAUGGAAACCAAGGUGUUGCUGAUGACACAGGUGAGUGGCCUCAUGGAACCCAACCGGCGUGGAUCCUCGUAGACGUAGGAAGCCACGUCAGGCACGUGUGAUGCACAAGCCAAUGCACGGUCGGGACGUAGGGAAAUGCCCCUACCAAAUCUAAUCGUCGAGAAGUUGGAGAGACGACAGAAACCGAGGUGCCUUCAAGCAUUAAUGACCGGGAGAACAACUACGAGGUACGUGCCUAAGGAAGGCAUGACAAGAAUGUUUUGAAUUCCCACCAUAAGUGUGUGCUCAGAAUUCACGGAGUACUAUGAAGGGAGUAAUCCCCAAAACCAGGUCAGGAGGAGUAGGCCCAACUCACAAGGCCCGAACAGUUCUAGGGCUCGAGGACAAGGGCUAGGCCAAGCCAGGUCAGCCCAGGAGGCCUAGGAGGGGAAGCAGUCAGGCUACACGCGCUAGCCAGACGAUGGAAGGCAGAAUUGUCUGACACCACUGCGGGCCGACAUCCAGGGACGGUUCUUGGCCCUCGACCCCGGCGUCUGAACAGGCCUAAGGGAUGGAUGUAUCUGAUCGAGGGCACGCUGCAUUUAAUGGGGACGGAAACAGGCACACCACAAUAGGAAGCCAUGCUGCAUUUAAUGAAUCUCGAGGCUGGGCAUGCCACGACGUGCCUCCUGGGUUGUCAGUAAUAGCCACAAUUGAGCCUGGCAGGUCUGCUGUGCAGCAUGAAGAUGGCAAGGACACACGACCCCAGUAUGAAACGACACCCCUACCAUCUCCUUCCCGAGGAUCGCCCCGACUAGGAAUAUAUAUACCCCUUCCCUCAGAAAGAGGGGGGGGGGGGGUCAGACACUUUGAUACUUCAAUUCAUAAUCUUCAUAAGGAAAUCACACACUGACUUUAGUAUCGGAGGUGUCCCCCACCACCUUGAAGCCCUCAUUUCUCUAUAGUAGCAGGUGGACAAACUAGGCUCCCACAGAGUUGGUCGGGUUGCGAAAUACAACAUCAACAGAGAUAUACUGUUUUGUUUA
Long non-coding RNA from Juglans microcarpa x Juglans regia, 1339 nucleotides. RefSeq lists it as uncharacterized. The record is from RefSeq and is a predicted model, not a curated record. The transcript is spliced from 2 exons. NCBI's taxonomy places the organism in Eukaryota, Viridiplantae, Streptophyta, Magnoliopsida, Fagales, Juglandaceae.